AUUGCCUUAGUAGCGGCGAGUGAAGCGGCAAAAGCUCAAAUUUGAAAUCUGGCGCCUUCGGUGUCCGAGUUGUAAUUUGAAGAUUGUAACCUUGGGGUUGGCUCUUGUCUAUGUUUCUUGGAACAGGACGUCACAGAGGGUGAGAAUCCCGUGCGAUGAGAUGCCCAAUUCUAUGUAAGGUGCUUUCGAAGAGUCGAGUUGUUUGGGAAUGCAGCUCUAAGUGGGUGGUAAAUUCCAUCUAAAGCUAAAUAUUGGCGAGAGACCGAUAGCGAACAAGUACAGUGAUGGAAAGAUGAAAAGAACUUUGAAAAGAGAGUGAAAAAGUACGUGAAAUUGUUGAAAGGGAAGGGUUUGAGAUCAGACUCGAUAUUUUGUGAGCCUUGCCUUCGUGGCGGGGUGACCCGCAGCUUAUCGGGCCAGCAUCGGUUUGGGCGGUAGGAUAAUGGCGUAGGAAUGUGACUUUACUUCGGUGAAGUGUUAUAGCCUGCGUUGAUGCUGCCUGCCUAGACCGAGGACUGCGAUUUUAUCAAGGAUGCUGGCAUAAUGAUCCCAAACCGCCCG
This 561-nucleotide ribosomal RNA is filed under the name Meyerozyma guilliermondii. Its description in RNAcentral is "partial large subunit ribosomal RNA". It matches the Rfam family "Eukaryotic large subunit ribosomal RNA", at positions 74 to 651 of the family's 3401-position model. The record is from RNAcentral. Lineage: Eukaryota; Fungi; Ascomycota; Pichiomycetes; Serinales; Debaryomycetaceae.